AUUCUUCGGAUGAAGAUCUUGGUGACUGAGUGGCGGACGGGUGGAGUAACGCGUGGGUAACCUGCCUCAUACAGGGGGAUAACAGUUAGAAAUGACUGCUAAUACCGCAUAAGCGCACAGUUCCGCAUGGAACAGUGUGAAAAACUCCGGUGGUGUGAGAUGGACCCGCGUCUGAUUAGCCAGUUGGCGGGGUAACGGCCCACCAAAGCGACGAUCAGUAGCCGGCCUGAGAGGGUGAACGGCCACAUUGGGACUGAGACACGGCCCAAACUCC
RNAcentral lists this ribosomal RNA (274 nucleotides) under uncultured Eubacteriales bacterium. RNAcentral's name for it is "uncultured Clostridiales bacterium partial 16S ribosomal RNA". It matches the Rfam family "Bacterial small subunit ribosomal RNA", at positions 72 to 339 of the family's 1533-position model. The record is from RNAcentral. Lineage: Bacteria; Bacillati; Bacillota; Clostridia; Eubacteriales.